This 75-nucleotide transfer RNA is filed under the name Mycobacteroides salmoniphilum. RNAcentral's name for it is "tRNA-Arg". It matches the Rfam family "tRNA". From Rfam's summary of the family: Transfer RNA (tRNA) molecules are approximately 80 nucleotides in length. Lineage: Bacteria; Bacillati; Actinomycetota; Actinomycetes; Mycobacteriales; Mycobacteriaceae. The record is from RNAcentral.
ACCCCUGUAGCGCAAUGGAUAGCGCACCGGUUUCCGGAACCGGAGGUUGCGGGUUCGAACCCCGCCGGGGGUGCC